AGGAGACUCAGGUCCUAAAGGAAGGAAGAACUCCAACUCUGGCAUGAAGAAUGAGUCAGAUUCCUGGAGUCUUCCUCUCAAACGUUCAGAAGUGCUCCAUGUAAACUCUUAAGAUUCUGGCAGGCGGGUGAGGAGAUCAUCUUGAGGCCACCGGAGAGAAACUUCACAUGUGCAGGAAAACAAUCUAUUCCUCUAUGAGUGCCACAUCUCAGCCAUUUUACUUUGAACGUCUG
Eubalaena glacialis (North Atlantic right whale) is the source of this 233-nucleotide long non-coding RNA. RefSeq lists it as uncharacterized. The record is from RefSeq and is a predicted model, not a curated record. NCBI's taxonomy places the organism in Eukaryota, Metazoa, Chordata, Mammalia, Artiodactyla, Balaenidae. The transcript has 3 exons.